RNAcentral lists this ribosomal RNA (600 nucleotides) under uncultured bacterium. RNAcentral describes it as "bacterial SSU rRNA". It matches the Rfam family "Bacterial small subunit ribosomal RNA", at positions 125 to 711 of the family's 1533-position model. The record is from RNAcentral.
CUGCCCUUGAAGUAGGGGAUAACACUUGGAAACAGGUGCUAAUACCGUAUAACAACCAAAACCACCUGGUUUUGGUUUAAAAGAUGGCUUCGGCUAUCACUUUAGGAUGGACCCGCGGCGUAUUAGCUUGUUGGUAAGGUAACGGCCUACCAAGGCAAUGAUACGUAGCCGACCUGAGAGGGUAAUCGGCCACAUUGGGACUGAGACACGGCCCAAACUCCUACGGGAGGCAGCAGUAGGGAAUCUUCCACAAUGGACGAAAGUCUGAUGGAGCAACGCCGCGUGAGUGAUGAAGGGUUUCGGCUUGUAAAACUCUGUUGUUGGAGAAGAACAGGUGUGAGAGUAACUGUUCACAUCUUGACGGUAUCCAACCAGAAAGCCACGGCUAACUACGUGCCAGCAGCCGCGGUAAUACGUAGGUGGCAAGCGUUGUCCGGAUUUAUUGGGCGUAAAGCGAGCGCAGGCGGUUUCUUAGGUCUGAUGUGAAAGCCUUCGGCUUAACCGGAGAAGUGCAUCAGAAACCAGGAGACUUGAGUGCAAAAGAGGACAGUGGAACUCCAUGUGUAGCGGUGAAAUGCGUAGAUAUAUGGAAGAACACCC